This 119-nucleotide ribosomal RNA is filed under the name Carlito syrichta (Philippine tarsier). Lineage: Eukaryota; Metazoa; Chordata; Mammalia; Primates; Tarsiidae. The record is from RNAcentral.
CCAAGCGGCCUUUUCCGAGGCCUGUCGCCGGAUCUCGGCCGAUCUCGGAAGCCAAGCAGGGUCGGGCCCGGUUGGUGCUUGGAUGGGAGACUGCCUCCUGGUACCGGGUGCUGUAUGCC